Molecule: ribosomal RNA, 301 nt
Filed under: uncultured bacterium
Lineage: Bacteria
Description: partial 16S ribosomal RNA
Rfam family: Bacterial small subunit ribosomal RNA
Source: RNAcentral
CAGCAGCCACGGGAAAACGUAGGUGGCAAGCGUUGUCCGGAAUUAUUGGGCGUAAAGCGCGCGCAGGUGGUUUGUUAAGUCAGAUGUGAAAUCCCCGGGCUCAACCUGGGAACUGCAUCUGAUACUGGCAAGCUUGAGUCUCGUAGAGGGGGGUAGAAUUCCAGGUGUAGCGGUGAAACGCGUAGAGAUCUGGAGGAAUACCGGUGGCGAAGGCGGCCCCCUGGACGAAGACUGACGCUCAGGUGCGAAAGCGUGGGGAGCAAACAGGAUUAGAUACCCCGGUAGUCCCGUCUCUUAUACC